Molecule: long non-coding RNA, 325 nt
Organism: Oncorhynchus gorbuscha (pink salmon)
Lineage: Eukaryota; Metazoa; Chordata; Actinopteri; Salmoniformes; Salmonidae
Exons: 3
Source: RefSeq, a predicted model, not a curated record
AUGUAGCAAAAUUCCAAUACGUUUUGAACUGUCCCUAACCUCAAAUCUUUCAGUGUUUUUCAGUGUACCUGGUGGGUGCUAUGGAGAGUCCUAAGAGGAGAAUGGCAACUGUCUCAGGACCAAGGUGGCCUUCAGGACCAAGGCUGUAAUCUACUACACGGAAAUCCUGAGGAACAGCGAUGUCCAGCUCCAGCAGACUGCCUGUCUGGCCCUCAAGUGUCUCAAAGCGAUGGAGAGCGUGGAGCAGGAGGCUGAGUUGUGGUGGUCAUCUGACGAGGACCUGCGCAGUGCUGUUAGAGAGACCGUGCUAUCAUAUGGUAAUCAU